AGUUCUUAACGGCCGCGCGUCCAGAGUCUGUUCCUUCUGAUGUUCGGAUGUGUUCGGAGUUUCUUCCUUCUGGUGGGUUCGUGGUCUCGCUGGCUCGGGAGUGAAGCUGCAGACGUUUGCGAGAAAUCUAAAUACAUGACCACAGUUUGAGCUCCUGUCUGAAGAGAUUUUUUAAAGGCUGUUUUCUCAUUAAAGCUGGGAUUUUCAUCAUGCUGAGUUCAGAGGAAAUGAGUAGAGAUGGAAGAGCUCUGAGGAAUGCUCUCUGGGACACGUCACCAUCUAGAAAUUGGAAAAAGGUGUCAAAGCCAUGAAAAUGCACAAGAAGAAAUAGCCGGUGAGAGAAGAAAACCAGGUGUGUGCGUGCUCCUAAGAGCCAAGGCGGGAGGGAGUUUUAGGAAGGGGGAAGCCUCAGAAGUGGUCAAUGCUGUUAUAAUGUUGACGCAAGUUUUGGUGGGAGAAAGACCAACUGACUGUUUGCAAUUGGAUGGCAUGAACCAUGGAGAUUAUUCACGCUCACCACUGGCUAAAAUGUGUGAUUGCUGUGAUGGGGAUGAAAGUGUGAUUGGAAAAGUUUUGAAGAAAGUGAAAAGUGAGGAUGUGGAGACAGAGAUAGAUAACUCCCGAGGAUUUUUGCAGAACGGAGAUUUCUGGAGACGGAUGAAUCCAUUGGUGCACAUUCCCUCUUGUGUAAGGAAAGGGUUCCCACAGAGAGGAAAACUAAACAUACCAUAAAAAUGAAAGACUUCUAGAACAAUCUGAAGCAGGUGACAGAGAGAGCAUGAGAUCUUGUGGAAAAAAAAUUCCCAAAGAGGGAUUACUAACAGUUUAUUGUGAGAAGAGAGAAGACAAUGUGGGUGGAUUGUAAGUGUGAUGAUGAGAACUUAAGAGCGUUCUCUUGUCUGAGUCAACUCAGAAGCAAAUUCAACUUCUGAGAGUAAAAAGGAGGAGUCAAAUAUCCUCAUUUUAAAAAGUGUGAAUUAAUAUGAGGAAUCGAUGAGGCAAAAAUAAUGAGGAUUGCCAGGCAACGCAGGGAGCCAAACACACUCUGUGUUUCCCAUGUUUACUCAGCACUUCUCAGUGUGUAUGCCCAGAAAACCAAGUGUGGCUUCUGCUCAGAUCUAGCCGCAGAAUACAGAACUGGAAUAAGCUGGAUGUCUUUGCAUAGAUAAAUGCAAAAAUAUUUGCAUAUUUGCUCACAUACAUAUUAUUUUCUAUUGGUGAGCUUAUUCUAUGCAUCCUAUUUGCAAUCUGCUUUGUAGUCACUCAAAAAUAUAUCCUGAACAUAUUUCUACAUAAAGUGAAGAAAUAGAGUACAGCAUUACUUUAAAUGGUUGCAGUGUAUUCCACAAUAUGUCUAUAACUAACCUGUUAUGUUGGGUAGUUAUUUAUAUUUCCCUUUUCCCAUUAUCGAAAUAAACUAUCGGUGAACA
This is a long non-coding RNA of Homo sapiens (human), 1430 nucleotides long. Ensembl annotates it as long intergenic non-protein coding RNA 3021. Lineage: Eukaryota; Metazoa; Chordata; Mammalia; Primates; Hominidae. The record is from Ensembl.